UUCAUUUGGAUUGUUACUACAAUCGUGUUAUUAAGCGUAAUGCUGUACGAAAGAUUUAACGCAUUAUCACAACAGUUGAGUUUGUUUGUAACCCAAAAUCCAAAAUACGAAAUUAACGAUAUAAUGCGAAAACACUUGGAGCUGUGCGAAUUAAUUCAAGAAAUGAGCGAUAAAUGGGGUAAUACUUUGUUAAUUAUUUACGGAAUUGGCGCUUAUCUUAUGUGCUUUGCUGUCUAUAACACAAUAUUCACUACAUCAGCUACAUACCUACGAAGUUUUUCUUCUACUUUCUUCCAUUCUCGGCAUAUGCUCGGUAGUGUCACUUUCAUUUGUGAUAUCUCGUAUCUUUGUAUCGGCUUACGAUUCUUUUCAAGAAAUUAGAAAAUUUAACUUGAUUCCUCUUCCGUUGAAAGUCAAUCUGAAGAUAUUGAAUUUUAUGAAAAAAUUUGGCGAAAUCGAAAUUGGAAUCAGUUGUGGAGGUUAUUUGAUUCUUUCUACAGAAUUUCCAAUUCAGAUGUAUGAAUCGCUGUAUAGUGUUUUCAACAUAUUACUUAAGUUACGAGAUACCUUCGAAGGAAUCGACAAAUCUUGUAAACCAGCUACUAAUUCAUUGCUUGUUAAUUCCACAAAUAAUCUCAAUAUAUAGUCUAAAACUGUAGAAUAUAUAAAUUGUUUAACACAAU
Long non-coding RNA from Centruroides sculpturatus (bark scorpion), 683 nucleotides. RefSeq lists it as uncharacterized. The record is from RefSeq and is a predicted model, not a curated record. Lineage: Eukaryota; Metazoa; Arthropoda; Arachnida; Scorpiones; Buthidae. The transcript has 4 exons.